Small nuclear RNA from Balaenoptera musculus (blue whale), 162 nucleotides. Its record names the gene U1. It matches the Rfam family "U1 spliceosomal RNA". From Rfam's summary of the family: U1 is a small nuclear RNA (snRNA) component of the spliceosome (involved in pre-mRNA splicing). Its 5' end forms complementary base pairs with the 5' splice junction, thus defining the 5' donor site of an intron. The record is from Ensembl. Lineage: Eukaryota; Metazoa; Chordata; Mammalia; Artiodactyla; Balaenopteridae.
AUCCUUACCUGUCAGGGGAGAUACCGUGAUCACAAAGGUGGUUCUGCAGUGCGCGGCUCAUCCAUUGCACUCUGAUGUGCUGAUCCCUGCGAUUUCCCCAAACGUGGGAAACUCGACUGCAGAAUUUGUAGUAGUGGGGGACUGCGUUUGUGCUUUCCCCUA